This 516-nucleotide ribosomal RNA is filed under the name uncultured bacterium. RNAcentral describes it as "partial 16S ribosomal RNA". It matches the Rfam family "Bacterial small subunit ribosomal RNA", at positions 28 to 523 of the family's 1533-position model. The record is from RNAcentral.
GACGAACGCUGGCGGCAUGCCUAAUACAUGCAAGUCGAGCGGAGUUGACGAGAAGCUUGCUUCUCUGAUACUUAGCGGCGGACGGGUGAGUAACACGUAGGCAACCUGCCUUUCAGUUUGGGAUAACUUCCGGAAACGGAUGCUAAUACCGAAUACAUCAUCUUCUGGCAUCAGAGCAUGAGGAAAGACGGCGCAAGCUGUCACUGAGAGAUGGGCCUGCGGCGCAUUAGCUAGUUGGUGGGGUAAUGGCUCACCAAGGCGACGAUGCGUAGCCGACCUGAGAGGGGGAACGGCAACACUGGGACUGAGACACGGCCCAGACUCCUACGGGAGGCAGCAGUAGGGAAUCUUCCACAAUGGGCGAAAGCCUGAUGGAGCAAUGCCGCGUGAGUGAUGAAGGUUUUCGGAUCGUAAAGCUCUGUUGCCAGGGAAGAACGUCCGGGUGAGUAACUGCACCCGGAGUGACGGUACCUGAGAAGAAAGCCCCGGCUAACUACGUGCCAGCCGCUGCGGUAA